GACGAACGCUGGCGGCGUGCCUAAUACAUGCAAGUUGAGCGCUGAAGGUUGGUACUUGUACCAACUGGAUGAGCAGCGAACGGGUGAGUAACGCGUGGGGAAUCUGCCUUUGAGCGGGGGACAACAUUUGGAAACGAAUGCUAAUACCGCAUAAAAACUUUAAACACAAGUUUUAAGUUUGAAAGAUGCAAUUGCAUCACUCAAAGAUGAUCCCGCGUUGUAUUAGCUAGUUGGUGAGGUAAAGGCUCACCAAGGCGAUGAUACAUAGCCGACCUGAGAGGGUGAUCGGCCACAUUGGGACGGAGACACGGCCCAAACUCCUACGGGAGGCAGCAGUAGGGAAUCUUCGGCAAUGGACGAAAGUCUGACCGAGCAACGCCGCGUGAGGGAAGAAGGUUGUCGGAUCGUAAAACUCGGUUGGUAGAGAAGAACGUUGGUGAGAGUGGAAAGCUCAUCAAGUGACGGUAACUACCCAGAAAGGGACGGCUAACUACGUG
Molecule: ribosomal RNA, 497 nt
Filed under: uncultured bacterium
Lineage: Bacteria
Description: partial 16S ribosomal RNA
Rfam family: Bacterial small subunit ribosomal RNA
Source: RNAcentral